ACAAUGGCUUUUUUUAAAGUCACCUAUGUUUCUCAGUAAGAGUAAU
Molecule: non-coding RNA, 46 nt
Organism: Ficedula albicollis (Collared flycatcher)
Lineage: Eukaryota; Metazoa; Chordata; Aves; Passeriformes; Muscicapidae
Source: Rfam